This 251-nucleotide ribosomal RNA is filed under the name uncultured bacterium. Its description in RNAcentral is "partial small subunit ribosomal RNA". It matches the Rfam family "Bacterial small subunit ribosomal RNA", at positions 26 to 280 of the family's 1533-position model. The record is from RNAcentral.
AGGAUGAACGCUAGCGGCAGGCUUAACACAUGCAAGUCGAGGGGUAUAGUUCUUCGGAAUUAGAGACCGGCGCACGGGUGCGUAACGCGUAUGCAAUCUACCUUUUACAGAGGGAUAGCCCAGAGAAAUUUGGAUUAAUACCUCAUAGCAUUAUGAAAUGGCAUCAUUUUAUAAUUAAAGUCACAACGGUAAAAGAUGAGCAUGCGUCCCAUUAGCUAGAUGGUAAGGUAACGGCUUACCAUGGCUACGAU